RNAcentral lists this ribosomal RNA (464 nucleotides) under uncultured bacterium. Its description in RNAcentral is "bacterial SSU rRNA". It matches the Rfam family "Bacterial small subunit ribosomal RNA", at positions 331 to 792 of the family's 1533-position model. The record is from RNAcentral.
CCAGACUCCUACGGGAGGCAGCAGUGAGGAAUAUUGGUCAAUGGGCGGGAGCCUGAACCAGCCAAGUCGCGUGAGGGAAGACGGUCCUACGGAUUGUAAACCUCUUUUGCCGGGGAGCAACGGGGUCCUUGCGAGGGCCCGAUGAGAGUACCCGGAGAAAAAGCAUCGGCUAACUCCGUGCCGGCAGCCGCGGUAAUACGGAGGAUGCGAGCGUUAUCCGGAUUUAUUGGGUUUAAAGGGUGCGUAGGCGGACGCUUAAGUCAGCGGUAAAAUUGCGGGGCUCAACCUCGUCGAGCCGUUGAAACUGGCGUUCUUGAGUGGGCGAGAAGUAUGCGGAAUGCGUGGUGUAGCGGUGAAAUGCAUAGAUAUCACGCAGAACCCCGAUUGCGAAGGCAGCAUGCCGGCUUCCGACUGACGCUGAAGCACGAAAGCGUGGGGAUCGAACAGGAUUAGAUACCCGUGUA